GUAUUUUAUUUCCCAUAAUGAGGAAGUGUUGCUGUCUGGUUGUAGUUGUAGUUGAUGUGUGAGUGCUUGUGUGUUUCUGUCAGUCGGAGCAGCUGCAGAUCAAGCUCAUCCAGGAGAAAGAUCUCAACGAUCAGCUGGAGUGUGAGAAGGCCAUCCUGGAUAGACAGCUGCGGGAUCUGCGCAGAGAGAUGGAGGAGCUGCAGAAUAACAGAGUGGAGGUGGACUCAAUCACCAGAGCCGAGAUUAAAGCCAAAGAACUGGAGAACACACUGCGCACCGAGGAGAGGAAUAAAGUGGUGAUGAACAACAGCAUCAGCAAACUGGAGAAGAAGAUCCACGAGCUGAUGGAGCAGAUGGAGGAGGAGCACAAGAUCUCCACCGAACAGAGAGAGCUGGUAUGAUGACGAUCACACAUCCACACCAGCAGAGGGAGACACAACAUCACAUCACACAC
Sinocyclocheilus grahami is the source of this 454-nucleotide long non-coding RNA. Ensembl annotates it as cingulin-like. The record is from Ensembl. NCBI's taxonomy places the organism in Eukaryota, Metazoa, Chordata, Actinopteri, Cypriniformes, Cyprinidae.